Sceloporus undulatus (fence lizard) is the source of this 669-nucleotide long non-coding RNA. RefSeq lists it as uncharacterized. Lineage: Eukaryota; Metazoa; Chordata; Lepidosauria; Squamata; Phrynosomatidae. The record is from RefSeq and is a predicted model, not a curated record. The transcript has 2 exons.
UAAAUAUGCAUUUAUAUCUAAUUACAUCUAAUUUAUCUGAUUUAUAUAGAGAUUGAUCAACUACAGUAUUUAUAAUCCUUUCAUCUGUGACAGCUACUUUUCCAAUUUUUUCCCUGACUACAGAAAGCCUGUUAAGGAGAAACAAGUGGGACAGCUGAACAAGUUUCUUUUGACUAGUAAAAUUGUACACAUACAGCUUCCCACAACUGCUGUGUGUGCAAGAAUGGAAUGAUUCUCUCAAGAGGCUGUUCUGCAGGUGAUACCUAUCUGGUAUUUCAUAGCCUUGGGUUUCAGCAAUACCUCACAGUGCCUCAGCUAGUGGAUCUUUAGUAUAGGAUGGGAACUAUUUAAACUCAGCUUUUCUUGGAAAGAUUUCUCCAGAUACAACAACUAUGGAAAUGUUCAUUGUGGUUAGCUAGAAAAAUGCAGAAUAACUGAUUCAUCCAGGCUUUCCCCCACCACACACAAUCUGAUUUAUUCCAAUAUGUCUCACCCUUUCCAAACCUCAGUACUGUAAGAGGUAUAUCUGUAUCUGUUAUAUCUUGGCUGGAUAACUGUAGCCAUGGGGAUGCAGUGGCUCAAAAUUGCCCAAAGGCCAGCUGUAAAUUUGACCAGGUAGCAUCUGGAUGUAAUUUCUAGUUUAAUUUCUGAGUGUCAUAGAGAGGGUUU